GCUCUGUGGUAUUUGCCUAACCUCCUCCAGAGAGGGGAGGGGAAUUGGAGACUGAGUUCAGUCAAAGGGCCAGUGAUUCGGUCAUUCCUGUCUACAUAAUGAAACCCAUUAGCCAUUCUGGGCCCCAAAGCUCAGUGGAGGCUCCUGGCUGAUGAACACAUUGAUGUGCCAGGAGGAUGACAUGCCCGAUGCCAGUAAGAGGACACAGAAGCUCUGCAUUCAGGACUGUUCAAUAGGAGCAACAGGCCCCAGAUGGAAUCACUUCAGCUAAGCCACCAAGACUUAACACCUAACCUAACUGCAGUUUCAGCCUCUCCCAGGUGGAAUUUUAAACCAAUUGGUCUGGAAUUUCCUGGUCAGCACUCGUGAGGGCUUUCCAAGACCUUGCCUAUGUGUCUGUUCAUUUGGCGAGUCCUGCUUUCCUAUUUUAGGUCAUUGUUACCACAUGUUUGAACUCUGACCGCAGCCUUCUGAGUGGGUGACCCAAGUUUCCAUCUUUCCAGAACUUGUGUAUGAUCCCUGAAAUUUGUUUCUUCCAGAUAAAAAAUAGAAACUAAA
Molecule: long non-coding RNA, 558 nt
Organism: Manis pentadactyla (Chinese pangolin)
Lineage: Eukaryota; Metazoa; Chordata; Mammalia; Pholidota; Manidae
Exons: 3
Source: RefSeq, a predicted model, not a curated record